GGGCCUGUAGCUCAGCUUGGAUAGAGCGGCGCCGUCCUAAGGCGAAGGUCGAGGGUUCAAAUCCCUCCAGGCCCG
Molecule: transfer RNA, 75 nt
Filed under: Microcaldota archaeon
Lineage: Archaea; Nanobdellati; Microcaldota
Also listed under: 1 other name
Description: Candidatus Micrarchaeota archaeon (hot springs metagenome) tRNA-Arg
Rfam family: tRNA
About the family: Transfer RNA (tRNA) molecules are approximately 80 nucleotides in length. Their secondary structure includes four short double-helical elements and three loops (D, anti-codon, and T loops).
Source: RNAcentral